Molecule: transfer RNA, 75 nt
Filed under: Hypericibacter terrae
Lineage: Bacteria; Pseudomonadati; Pseudomonadota; Alphaproteobacteria; Rhodospirillales; Dongiaceae
Also listed under: 1 other name
Description: tRNA-Lys
Rfam family: tRNA
About the family: Transfer RNA (tRNA) molecules are approximately 80 nucleotides in length.
Source: RNAcentral
GAGCCCGUAGCUCAGGGGUAGAGCAUCUGACUUUUAAUCAGAGGGUCAUGGGUUCAAAUCCCAUCGGGCUCACCA